GGGCCUGUGGUCGAAUGGUAAGACGUUACCUUCACAAGGUAAAGAUCAGGAGUUCGAUUCUCCUCAGGCCCA
Molecule: transfer RNA, 72 nt
Filed under: Microcaldota archaeon
Lineage: Archaea; Nanobdellati; Microcaldota
Description: tRNA-Val
Rfam family: tRNA
About the family: Transfer RNA (tRNA) molecules are approximately 80 nucleotides in length.
Source: RNAcentral